Molecule: transfer RNA, 76 nt
Filed under: Rickettsiales bacterium
Lineage: Bacteria; Pseudomonadati; Pseudomonadota; Alphaproteobacteria; Rickettsiales
Description: tRNA-Ala
Rfam family: tRNA
About the family: Transfer RNA (tRNA) molecules are approximately 80 nucleotides in length. Their secondary structure includes four short double-helical elements and three loops (D, anti-codon, and T loops).
Source: RNAcentral
GGGGAUAUAGCUCAGCUGGUAGAGCGCUUGCAUGGCAUGCAAGAGGUCGUCGGUUCGAUCCCGAUUAUCUCCACCA